Molecule: ribosomal RNA, 373 nt
Filed under: uncultured organism
Description: partial 16S ribosomal RNA
Rfam family: Bacterial small subunit ribosomal RNA
Source: RNAcentral
GUAGGUCCCGAGCGUUGUCCGGAUUUAUUGGGCGUAAAGCGAGCGCAGGUGGUUUAUUAAGUCUGGUGUAAAAGGCAGUGGCUCAACCAUUGUAUGCAUUGGAAACUGGUAGACUUGAGUGCAGGAGAGGAGAGUGGAAUUCCAUGUGUAGCGGUGAAAUGCGUAGAUAUAUGGAGGAACACCGGUGGCGAAAGCGGCUCUCUGGCCUGUAACUGACACUGAGGCUCGAAAGCGUGGGGGGAGCAAACAGGAUUAGAUACCCUGGUAGUCCACGCCCGUAAACCGAUGAGUGCUAGAUGUAGGGAGCUAUAAGUUCUCUGUAUCGCAGCUAACGCAAUAAGCACUCCGCCUGGGGAGUACGACCGCAAGGUUG